This 393-nucleotide ribosomal RNA is filed under the name uncultured bacterium. RNAcentral's name for it is "partial 16S ribosomal RNA". It matches the Rfam family "Bacterial small subunit ribosomal RNA", at positions 523 to 918 of the family's 1533-position model. The record is from RNAcentral.
AUACGGAGGAUCCAAGCGUUAUCCGGAUUUAUUGGGUUUAAAGGGUGCGCAGGCGGAAGAUUAAGUCGGCGGUGAAAUUUUGCAGCUCAACUGUAAAAGUGCCAUCGAUACUGGUUUUCUUGAGUGUGGAUGAAGUAGGCGGAAUUUGUGGUGUAGCGGUGAAAUGCAUAGAUAUCACGAGGAACUCCGAUUGCGCAGGCAGCUUACUAGGCCAUAACUGACGCUCAGGCACGAAGGCGUGGGGAUCAAACAGGAUUAGAUACCCUGGUAGUCCACGCAGUAAACGAUGAUUACUCGCUGUUUGCGAUACACAGUAAGCGGCUUAGCGAAAGCGUUAAGUAAUCCACCUGGGGAGUACGUACGCAAGAAUGAAACUCAAAUGAAUUGACGGGG